AAGACUAUAGACCUGCGGAGUACCUGCGGGGGAUCAUUAUCGUAUUGUAACAAUUGGGGGGGCCACCGUGGGCUGUCGCUGACCCUUUGAAAGGGGGGUCGUGCACGCCCCCAUAGUGUCAUCCUCAUACAAUCCAACUCACCUCUGUGCAUCACCGCGUGGGUUCCUUUCUGGGUCGAGUCAGACUGGCUCAGAAAAAAGGGGCUUGCGUUUUCCAUACAAAUACCCUUAUAAAUCCAG
This 240-nucleotide unclassified non-coding RNA is filed under the name soil metagenome. RNAcentral describes it as "partial contains 5.8S ribosomal RNA, internal transcribed spacer 2, and large subunit ribosomal RNA". The record is from RNAcentral.